This 406-nucleotide ribosomal RNA is filed under the name uncultured bacterium. Its description in RNAcentral is "partial 16S ribosomal RNA". It matches the Rfam family "Bacterial small subunit ribosomal RNA", at positions 28 to 526 of the family's 1533-position model. The record is from RNAcentral.
GACGAACGCUGGCGGCAGGCCUAACACAUGCAAGUCGAACGAGUGGCGGACGGGUGAGUAAUGUCUGGGAAACUGCCUGAUGGAGGGGGAUAACUACUGGAAACGGUAGCUAAUACCGCAUACCAUCGGAUGUGCCCAGAUGGGAUUAGCUAGUAGGUGGGGUAAAGGCUCACCUAGGCGACGAUCCCUAGCUGGUCUGAGAGGAUGACCGGCCACACUGGAACUGAGACACGGUCCAGACUCCUACGGGAGGCAGCAGUGGGGAAUAUUGGACAAUGGGCGCAAGCCUGAUGCAGCAAGGCCGCGUGUGUGAAGAAGGCCUUCGGGUUGUAAAGUACUGUCAGCGGAGAGGCGUUACCCGAAGAAGAAGCACCGGCUAACUCCGUGCCAGCAGCCGCGGUAAUUC